Astyanax mexicanus (Mexican tetra) is the source of this 1358-nucleotide long non-coding RNA. RefSeq lists it as uncharacterized. The transcript is spliced from 2 exons. NCBI's taxonomy places the organism in Eukaryota, Metazoa, Chordata, Actinopteri, Characiformes, Acestrorhamphidae. The record is from RefSeq and is a predicted model, not a curated record.
AAUGUUUUAUACAUUUAUAUAUACAGUUAUUAUUUUUACUGUUCACAUUAUAAUUCACUUAAUAACCUUAUGAUCUCUGCUCUCUUUUUAACUGUCACUAUGACAAGGCUUUGGAGGUUGUUUUUACUUUUUCAGGAAUCAGGAAGGUCAGAGUGUUUUCAUCAACAGUGAGAGCUGUGAGGAGAAUGUGACCCUGAGUGGCAGAGAAGCUUCACUGCUGUUCUGCUGUUCUGGGACCAGUGCAUAUGAACUAGGAGACAACAAGUUAUCUGAGUGAAGUGCUGGAAACCUCUCCUCAGAUAGUCAGAAGAUCUUUACAUCCACUCUUUUCCUCUGUCUCAUCUUCUUACAGACUUUAGGACACUUAAGGACUGUCUGCUGUGUUCAUGAAGGACACAGUGCUGAACAACAUCAUGAUAAGAACCUGUUGCUCAGACAGGCUGGAGCGGAUCACGUCAUUAAAACUGGACAACAUGCUGUUAACUGGACUCUGCUGACGUAAUCAUAUUGAUAAGUUCUGUACAAUCACAUGUCAUUUGCAAAGUGUAUAACUGCUUGGAUGAAGUAUGAGGAGUUCUCUCUGUCCCUCGACUGGCUUUAGUUUCUUUCUCUCUCUCUCUCUCUGUUUCUUUCUUUCUCUCUCUCUCUCUCUCUCUCUCUCUCUCUAUGGGUUGCAAAUGUGUUGAUCUAUCGAGAUUUUAUUUGUUGAUGUACUUUUACUCUUUUCUAAUAUAUAUCUAUUAAUUUUUGUUCCGCCAUAUGCAGAAGAAAGGCCAGUUCCUGCAAGUUGCAGUAGAUACAAUAGAGUUAGAUACUGCAUUUAGGCUGGACCGUUUGUUUGAUGAAGGUAAAGAAAAUUAUCUGUAAAAAAUUAUUAUUGAUUCAGAAUCAAAGGGGGGAGUGUGAUGGAAGGUGUUUAUUGAAAUGAUUCAUAAUCAAUGACGUGUGAUGAUUCAUAAACAAUGACGACUAUUAAUGAUAUUACUUUUUGUUCCAUGCGAUGAUAAUGUGUACUCAGGAGCAUAUCUAAGAUGCUGAGUGAGAGUUUUUCUAUCUGGGGAAAGCAGUGUGUGUCUAUGUAUGUGUGCACGUCACGGAUUGUUCUGUCUACAAUUCUGGCGCCAGGGUCAUUUUUCCUUCUGCUUGCGGUGUUUUGAGAACCAGUCUGAUAUGCUCACUAAGGGAUUAUGUCAUACCACCUGUCAGAAGAAGUUGACGUGUCACAAUGGUGGCACUGUGCCCAUAAUUGGGAAGUAAGGGAUGGGAGGAUCUAAAAGGUAUAAAGAGAGCAUGGCACUCUUGCAAGGCAGGAGUUCACUCUGUAUUCAUUACGUGUGGCUUCUCAAUAAAUCUUGUUA